RNAcentral lists this ribosomal RNA (771 nucleotides) under uncultured Minimedusa. Its description in RNAcentral is "eukaryotic LSU rRNA". The stretch from base 263 to 771 matches the Rfam family "Eukaryotic large subunit ribosomal RNA", at positions 1 to 510 of the family's 3401-position model. The record is from RNAcentral. Lineage: Eukaryota; Fungi; Basidiomycota; Agaricomycetes; Cantharellales.
GGAGUACGCCUGUUCGAGUGUUAUGAAGCUCUCAAAACGCAAUUGGCUUAAAACCUGAUUGUUGUUUUGGAUUUGAACUUUGCCGUGUUAUAACGGCUGGUUUUAAAAGUAUUAGCUGGUACUAGAACGAAUUGGUUCUACUCAACGUGAUAAUUAUCUGAUCGUCGAGGACAUUCCUUUCACGAGGAAUGGCCAUAGUAAAUUCAAUGGACUGCUUCUAAUCUGGCUUUAAUUCUUUAUUGGAUUAACCACUUUUCAAAUCUGACCUCGAAUCAGGUGGGACUACCCGCUGAACUUAAGCAUAUCAAUAAGCGGAGGAAAAGAAACUAACAAGGAUUCCCCUAGUAACGGCGAGUGAAGCGGGAUGAGCUCAAAUUUAAAAUCUGAUAGUCUUUGGCUGUCCGAGUUGUAAUCUAGAGAAGUGUUUUCCGCGUUGGACCAUGUACAAGUUUCCUGGAACGGAACGUCAUAGAGGGUGAGAAUCCCGUCCUUGACAUGGACUACCAGUGCUUUGUGAUACACUCUCAACGAGUCGAGUUGUUUGGGAUUGCAGCUCAAAAUGGGAGGUAAAUUCCUUCUAAAGCUAAAUAUUGGCGAGAGACCGAUAGCGAACAAGUACCGUGAGGGAAAGAUGAAAAGCACUUUGGAAAGAGAGUUAAACAGUACGUGAAAUUGUUAAAAGGGAAACGAUUGAAGUCAGUCGCGUUUACUUGGACUCAGCCUUACCUCGGUUUGGUGCAUUUCCUUGUGAACGGGCCAGCGUCAAUGUUG